UGGGGAAUAUUGGACAAUGGGCGCAAGCCUGAUCCAGCCAUGCCGCGUGAGUGAUGAAGGCCCUAGGGUUGUAAAGCUCUUUCACCGGUGAAGAUAAUGACGGUAACCGGAGAAGAAGCCCCGGCUAACUUCGUGCCAGCAGCCGCGGUAAUACGAAGGGGGCUAGCGUUGUUCGGAUUUACUGGGCGUAAAGCGCACGUAGGCGGACUUUUAAGUCAGGGGUGAAAUCCCGGGGCUCAACCCCGGAACUGCCUUUGAUACUGGAAGUCUUGAGUAUGGUAGAGGUGAGUGGAAUUCCGAGUGUAGAGGUGAAAUUCGUAGAUAUUCGGAGGAACACCAGUGGCGAAGGCUGCUCACUGGACCAUUACUGACGCUGAGGUGCGAAAGCGUGGGGAGCAAACAGG
Molecule: ribosomal RNA, 404 nt
Filed under: Actinomycetes bacterium
Lineage: Bacteria; Bacillati; Actinomycetota; Actinomycetes
Description: Actinobacteria bacterium partial 16S ribosomal RNA
Rfam family: Bacterial small subunit ribosomal RNA
Source: RNAcentral